Molecule: ribosomal RNA, 253 nt
Filed under: uncultured bacterium
Lineage: Bacteria
Description: partial 16S ribosomal RNA
Rfam family: Bacterial small subunit ribosomal RNA
Source: RNAcentral
AACGUAGGAGACAAACGUUAUCCGGAGUUACUGGGCGUAAAGGGCGUGUAGGCGGUUUUGUAAGUCUGGCGUGAAAUUUUUCGGCUUAACCGGGAAAGGUCGUCGGAUACUGCAGGACUAGAGGACGGUAGAGGCGUGUGGAAUUCCGGGUGUAGUGGUGAAAUGCGUAGAGAUCCGGAGGAACACCAGUGGCGAAGGCGACACGCUGGGCCGUACCUGACACUGAUGCGCGACAGCAUGGGGAGCAAACAGG